This is a small nucleolar RNA of Drosophila gunungcola (fruit fly), 70 nucleotides long. RefSeq annotates it as small nucleolar RNA Me18S-Gm1358. The record is from RefSeq and is a predicted model, not a curated record. The transcript has a single exon. Lineage: Eukaryota; Metazoa; Arthropoda; Insecta; Diptera; Drosophilidae.
UUAUUACUAUGAUGAUACUCCAUGCACCACUCUGAAACUUUUAGUGCUGAUUAUGGAUUUCUGAUAUGCA